CCCUCGAUAGCUCAGUUGGCAGAGCAGAGGACUGUAGAUGUUACAACGGUGAUCCUUAGGUCGCUGGUUCAAAUCCGGCUCGAGAGA
This 87-nucleotide transfer RNA is filed under the name Cordylochernes scorpioides. RNAcentral's name for it is "tRNA-Tyr". It matches the Rfam family "tRNA". Rfam says of the family: Transfer RNA (tRNA) molecules are approximately 80 nucleotides in length. Lineage: Eukaryota; Metazoa; Arthropoda; Arachnida; Pseudoscorpiones; Chernetidae. The record is from RNAcentral.